CCAGACUCCUACGGGAGGCAGCAGUGGGGGAUAUUGCACAAUGGGGGAAACCCUGAUGCAGCAACGCCGCGUGAGUGAAGAAGUAUUUCGGUAUGUAAAGCUCUAUCAGCAGGGAAGAGAAUGACGGUACCUGACUAAGAAGCCCCGGCUAACUACGUGCCAGCAGCCGCGGUAAUACGUAGGGGGCAAGCGUUAUCCGGAUUCACUGGGUGUAAAGGGAGCGUAGACGGCGACGCAAGUCUGGAGUGAAAGCCCGGGGCCCAACCCCGGGACUGCUCUGGAAACUGCGUCGCUGGAGUACGGGAGGGGCAGGCGGAAUUCCUGGUGUAGCGGUGAAAUGCUUAGAUAUCACGAAGAACUCCGAUUGCGAAGGCAGUUCACUGGACUGCAACUGACACUGAGGCUCGAAAGUGUGGGUAUCAAACAGGAUUAGAUACCCCAGUA
RNAcentral lists this ribosomal RNA (444 nucleotides) under uncultured bacterium. Its description in RNAcentral is "bacterial SSU rRNA". It matches the Rfam family "Bacterial small subunit ribosomal RNA", at positions 331 to 792 of the family's 1533-position model. The record is from RNAcentral.